RNAcentral lists this ribosomal RNA (407 nucleotides) under uncultured bacterium. RNAcentral's name for it is "partial 16S ribosomal RNA". It matches the Rfam family "Bacterial small subunit ribosomal RNA", at positions 30 to 526 of the family's 1533-position model. The record is from RNAcentral.
AUUGAACGCUAGCGGGAUGCCUUACACAUGCAAGUCGAACGGAUUGGCGCACGGGUGAGUAAUGUUUCGGAACGUGCCCAGUCGCGGGGGAUGACUACGCGAAAGCGUAGCUAAUCCCGCUUACUCUUGGUACGGCCGAUUUCGGAUUAGCUGGUUGGGGGGGUAAAGGCUCACCAAUGCGACGAUCCGUAGCUGGUUUGAGAGGACGACCAGCCACACUGGGACUGAGACACGGACCAGACUCCUGCGGGAGGCAGCAGUGGGGAAUUUUGGACAAUGGGGGAAACCCUGAGCCAGCCAUCCCGCGUGGGCGAUGAAGGCCUUCGGGUUGUAAAGCACUGUUGGCAGGAAAGCGGUAACUGAAGAAUAAGCACCGGCUAACUACGUGCCAGCAGACGCGGUAAUAC